AUGCACCUCACCCAUGAAUUUGGGCGCCCAAGAGAGGAGUGUGGAGGAGAACGUGGGGAAGGAGUCAUAAACGACGAUUGUUGCCGACCUCGAGUGGAAGAACAUGGGCAUGAACAUGCUCAGACAGGUGGUGGGGCGGAGCUCGGACAUCGAAGGGUGGGAAGUAGCUCACUGCAGGGGGCGGCGACGGAGUUGGGACAUCAAACAAUGGGGAGGACCUCGCAGCACGGGCGUCAGAACCCUCAGCUUGGGCAGAGAUGCACAAACGAACAACAAGAGGGGCGGCCAUCGGAGCUUUGGCUCAAGAACACCUUCCUCCAUCGUGAUGAUAGUGGACCAGUCGUCCUUGCACAACCCUAG
This 360-nucleotide ribosomal RNA is filed under the name Triticum aestivum (bread wheat). RNAcentral describes it as "partial small subunit ribosomal RNA". Lineage: Eukaryota; Viridiplantae; Streptophyta; Magnoliopsida; Poales; Poaceae. The record is from RNAcentral.